CGGCGCACGGGUGCGUAACACGUAUGCAACCUGCCUUUUACUGGGGAAUAGCCCGAAGAAAUUCGGAUUAAUGCCCCAUAUGCUCGCACAAUCGCAUGAUUGAGCGAGGAAAGCUCCGGCGGUAAAAGAUGGGCAUGCGUCCUAUUAGCUUGUUGGUGAGGUAAUGGCUCACCAAGGCUACGAUAGGUAGGGGACCUGAGAGGGUGAACCCCCACACUGGUACUGAGACACGGACCAGACUCCUACGGGAGGCAGCAGUGAGGAAUAUUGGGCAAUGGAGGAAACUCUGACCCAGCCAUGCCGCGUGCAGGAAGACGGCCCUCUGGGUUGUAAACUGCUUUUAUAUGGGAAUAAACCCUUCCACGUGUGGAAGGCUGAAGGUACCAUAAGAAUAAGGAUCGGC
This 403-nucleotide ribosomal RNA is filed under the name uncultured bacterium. RNAcentral's name for it is "bacterial SSU rRNA". It matches the Rfam family "Bacterial small subunit ribosomal RNA", at positions 96 to 497 of the family's 1533-position model. The record is from RNAcentral.